UACAGAGGUCUCAAGCGUUGUUCGGAUUCAUUGGGCGUAAAGGGUGCGUAGGUGGUGCUGUAAGUCAGGUGUGAAAUCUCGGGGCUCAACCCCGAAACUGCACUUGAUACUGCAGUGCUCGAGGACUGGAGAGGAGAUUGGAAUUCAUGGUGUAGCAGUGAAAUGCGCAGAUAUCGGGAGGAACACCGGUGGCGAAGGCGGUUCUCUGGGCCUUACCUGACGCUGAGGAGCGAAAGCGUGGGGAGCGAACGGG
RNAcentral lists this ribosomal RNA (253 nucleotides) under uncultured bacterium. Its description in RNAcentral is "partial 16S ribosomal RNA". It matches the Rfam family "Bacterial small subunit ribosomal RNA", at positions 524 to 776 of the family's 1533-position model. The record is from RNAcentral.